Molecule: ribosomal RNA, 253 nt
Filed under: uncultured bacterium
Lineage: Bacteria
Description: partial 16S ribosomal RNA
Rfam family: Archaeal small subunit ribosomal RNA
Source: RNAcentral
UACCAGCACCCCGAGUGGUCGGGACGAUUAUUGGGCCUAAAGCAUCCGUAGCCGGUUUUACAAGUCCUCCGUUAAAUCCAGCUGCUUAACAGAUGGGCUGCGGAGGAUACUAUAAGACUAGGAGGCAGGAGAGGCAAGCGGUACUCAGUGGGUAGGGGUAAAAUCCGUUGAUCCAUUGAAGACCACCAGUGGCGAAGGCAGCUUGCUGGGACGGUACUGACGCUGAGACGCGAAAGCGUGGGGAGCAAACAGG